RNAcentral lists this ribosomal RNA (453 nucleotides) under uncultured Desulfobulbus sp. Its description in RNAcentral is "bacterial SSU rRNA". It matches the Rfam family "Bacterial small subunit ribosomal RNA", at positions 933 to 1382 of the family's 1533-position model. Lineage: Bacteria; Pseudomonadati; Thermodesulfobacteriota; Desulfobulbia; Desulfobulbales; Desulfobulbaceae. The record is from RNAcentral.
UGGAGUAUGUGGUUAAUUCGAUGCAACGCGAAGAACCUUACCUGGUCUUGACAUCCCGGAGACCCUUAGGAAACUAGGGGUGCUUCCAUCUGGAAGAAUCUGGAGACAGGUGCUGCAUGGCUGUCGUCAGCUCGUGUCGUGAGAUGUUGGGUUAAGUCCCGCAACGAGCGCAACCCUUGCCUUUAGUUGCCAGCAGUUCGGCUGGGCACUCUAAAGGGACUGCCGGUGUUAAACCGGAGGAAGGUGGGGAUGACGUCAAGUCCUCAUGGCCUUUAUGACCAGGGCUACACACGUACUACAAUGGCCGAUACAAAGGGCAGCGACACUGCGAGGUGAAGCCAAUCCCGUAAAAUCGGUCUCAGUCCGGAUUGGAGUCUGCAACUCGACUCCAUGAAGUUGGAAUCGCUAGUAAUCGUGGAUCAGCAUGCCACGGUGAAUACGUUCCCGGGCCUU